RNAcentral lists this ribosomal RNA (477 nucleotides) under uncultured bacterium. RNAcentral's name for it is "partial 16S ribosomal RNA". It matches the Rfam family "Bacterial small subunit ribosomal RNA", at positions 28 to 507 of the family's 1533-position model. The record is from RNAcentral.
GAUUAACGCUGGCGGCGUGCAUAACACACGCAAGUCGAACGAUGAAACUUAAAUGAUUUCUUCGGAAUGAACUUAAGUGGAUUAGUGGCGGACGGGUGAGUAACGCGUGAGUAACCUGCCUUACACAAGGGGAUAGCCGUUGGAAACGACGAAUAAUACCCUAUGAUGUUUCUAUCUCGCAUGAGAUAUUAACCAAAGUGUUAGCGGUGUAAGAUGGACUUGCGUCUGAUUAGCUAGUUGGUGAGAAAAAAGCCCACCAAGGCAACGAUCAGUAGCCGGCUUGAGAGAGUGUACGGCCACAUUGGGACUGAGACACGGCCCAGACUCCUACGGGAGGCAGCAGUGGGGAAUUUUGCACAAUGGGGGAAACCCUGAUGCAGCGACGCCGCGUGAUUUAGAAGGCCUUCGGGUUGUAAAAAUCUUUUGUAUAGGAAGAAAAUGACAGUACUAUACGAAUAAGGUCCGGCUAAUUACGUG